Molecule: unclassified non-coding RNA, 332 nt
Filed under: soil metagenome
Description: partial contains 5.8S ribosomal RNA, internal transcribed spacer 2, and large subunit ribosomal RNA
Rfam family: 5.8S ribosomal RNA (bases 1-120)
Source: RNAcentral
GAUGAAGAACGUAGCGAAAUGCGAUAAGUAAUGUGAAUUGCAGAAUUCAGUGAAUCAUCGAAUCUUUGAACGCACAUUGCGCCCGCCAGUAUUCUGGCGGGCAUGCCUGUUCGAGCGUCAUUUCAACCAUCAAGCCCUGCUUGCGUUGGGGUCCUGCGGCUGCCCGCAGGCCCUGAAAACCAGUGGCGGGCUCGCUAGUCACACCGAGCGCAGUAAUACAUCUCGCUUUGGGCGUGCGGCGGGUUCUUGCCGUUAAACACCCCCUUUUUACCAAGGUUGACCUCGGAUCAGGUAGGAAUACCCGCUGAACUUAAGCAUAUCAUAAGCGAGGA